Molecule: ribosomal RNA, 253 nt
Filed under: uncultured bacterium
Lineage: Bacteria
Description: partial 16S ribosomal RNA
Rfam family: Bacterial small subunit ribosomal RNA
Source: RNAcentral
UACAGAGGUCCCAAGCGUUGUUCGGAUUCAUUGGGCGUAAAGGGUGCGUAGGCGGUGCCGCAAGUCAGAUGUGAAAUCUCGGGGCUUAACCCCGAAACUGCAUUUGAUACUGCGGUGCUCGAGGACUGGAGAGGAGACUGGAAUUCACGGUGUAGCAGUGAAAUGCGUAGAUAUCGUGAGGAAGGCCAGUGGCGAAGGCGAGUCUCUGGACAGUUCCUGACACUGAGGCACGAAGGCUAGGGGAGCAAACGGG